Molecule: ribosomal RNA, 428 nt
Filed under: Verrucomicrobiota bacterium
Lineage: Bacteria; Pseudomonadati; Verrucomicrobiota
Description: Verrucomicrobia bacterium partial 16S ribosomal RNA
Rfam family: Bacterial small subunit ribosomal RNA
Source: RNAcentral
UAGGGAAUCUUCCGCAAUGGACGAAAGUCUGACGGAGCAACGCCGCGUGAGUGAAGAAGGAUUUCGGUUCGUAAAACUCUGUUGUUAGGGAAGAAAAAAUGUAUAGUAACUAUAUACAAAAGAGACGGUACCUAACCAGAAAGCCACGGCUAACUACGUGCCAGCAGCCGCGGUAAUACGUAGGUGGCAAGCGUUGUCCGGAAUUAUUGGGCGUAAAGCGAGCGCAGGCGGUUAGAAAAGUCUGAAGUGAAAGGCAGUGGCUCAACCAUUGUAGGCUUUGGAAACUGUUUAACUUGAGUGCAGAAGGGGAGAGUGGAAUUCCAUGUGUAGCGGUGGAAUGCGUAGAUAUAUGGAGGAACACCGGUGGCGAAAGCGGCUCUCUGGUCUGUAACUGACGCUGAGGCUCGAAAGCGUGGGGAGCGAACAGG